CAGUUCUCUGCAAUUAUUCAUGGAAUGUUGACUAAUCUGUUGAGGUGCAGCAUACCAGGGUCUUCCCCAACAGUUGGAGACAUCUGUUAAUGGAGUGCUACUUUCCGAGGUAGAACUUUGAACUGUCCUUUUUCCCUAUCCUUCUAAGUUAAGUUCCAUGGACAAGUGAAACAAACUCCAGACUACCACACUCUUUCCGUAUUUUUCCUUUCAAGUCUCGUUUUCUGUCUGAUGUCGCUAUUCAGUGUACUUAUCUCUAUGCUGAUCCCUCAUCUUUUAGUUGCAGGCAUUGCUACAUUGUUUCACACUUGUUAGAUUAUUCAAAUGAGGCAAUGAGUCUCCUAAUACUCACUCAACGAUUCCUCUUAUGUUUUUUUUUCUUCAUUUAGGAGAGAAGAAGACUAUUGACGAUGAUGAGACAAUUGGAAUAACAAGGACAGCACUAUGUACCUCUAUUCUCUUCUUUUGUAUCAACUCCUGGGCUUAGGAUAUUUCGUGAACUAAGGCAGAUUACUGACUAGGAGUGCAACAAGAGAAGCAUAAAAAACUUAAUGGUCUUCUAGUGACUAUUUAGUUAUGAACAUCUCAUGCAAUUUUCUUUUGGUACAUUUCUGGCAACUUUGAAGGAAUGGAAAUUACCAAAUAAGAAAGUUUUGAAUAUAUUUGAGCAGAGUGAGGCAGAGGUAGUUAUACCAGUAUGAAGAUGUUGGACAGUUGGCCCCCGAUUGGAGCGUACUAAUACUGCUGGAUCCAACUAGAGAGACGCUAAUUAACAUCUAUUCACGGAGUGCUUAAUUGCUUAUAGUCUAUUGAUAUUGUCCCCAUGAUUUUCCCUGCAUCUCUACCUUCAAGUAGGUAGUGGUUCAGGUUCUUUAUGAAUGUCAGUAUUUUAUUGGCAGGAAUUUGCAGCUAUAUAGUAUCUUGACAGUCUAUACAUUUUUCUCUAUGCUAAAAUUUCAUUUUGUGUUGCAUUAGCAGAAGACAUUGUCUAGAUUGUUUUCACCUGUCAUGGAUACUCGAACAAUGCAAUGGCAAUCUGAGAACUCAACUCAACCCGUUCUUGUAUGGAUGCCUCUUUUUUUCUCCUCACUCAGGACUCAGGAGAGCAGAAGACUGUUGACAAUGAUGAGAAAAUCAGAAUAAAGAGGACAACAGUAUGUACGUCUAUUUUCUUCUUUGGUAUCAACUCUACUUGGCUUCUGGUAAUCGUGUUUGGUACAUUCCUGGCUUUGUUAUAGAUUCAAUAAUAUCGUGGAGAUCCCAGCUUCUUCAAGUCGUCAAGUCAACUAUUCAAAUCAUUGAUCUAUUUUUUCACUUAAGAUAUAUCACGUCUUCAAGUACAUGGAGUUUGCAUGAAUUUAAUUUGUGAUCAAUUGCCUCAAGACUUUAGGGACUGGAAAUACAAUAAAGAGAAGCUUUACUAACUUACUGGCCUUCUAGCGAUAAGUACAAGACCAUUUUAUACGGUAUUCAACACUCUUUUGAGAUAGUUGAUGCUGCAUACAUUUCAUAGAACUUUGAUCUGCAUGGGAAUCACAAAGCAAAAUUUCUGAAUCAUGACGAGGAAUUUGAAGUGAACGAGGCUAAUAGCUAACUUAAUAAGAAGAUGAUGCCAUGCUGACAGUUAACCAGGGAUUGGAGCCUGCAAAAACUGUUUGAUCCAACUAGGUGAAGCACUACAUAGUGACUUCCAUAGGAUGCUUUUCAGUCUAUUGAGGUACCAUCGAGUCUUCCCCAUCUCUCUUCAUUCAGACUGAGGUUGACAUGUUUUAUGGAUGUCAGUAUCUUUUUGGCAGGAGCUAAGCUAUAUAACAAUGUCUUAACAAUUGGAGAUGACUGGUUAAACUGCUUAUGCGGUGCUAUUUUUCAGGGUAGAACUUUGGGUUGUUCCUUUUUCUCUUAUAUUUCUACACUAAAGCUUCAUGAAUGACAUACAGGAGUGUGAUGGGAUAGAUAUACAUGGCUGCAUCCAACACAUUCUCUUCCCAUAUCUUUUCCUUUCAGAACUUGCUCUCUGUCUUAUGCUGCAAUUUCAUAUAUUUUCCUCUAAUUUUAAUUUCUCAGAAAGUGUAUUUCUUGCAGAAGACCUCAUCUGGACUGUUUUACUCCUGUUACAGUUAUUCAAACAAGGCAAUGGUGCGUCCUUCGACUCAGUCAAAUCAUGUUGUAUGAUUGGCCCUCCUUUUUUUAGUUGGCUUUCAAUCAGGAGAUCAGAGAACUGUAGAAAAUGGAGAGAUACUCUCGGAGUAACGAGAGAGGACCAUCUUAAGAUUUGAUUAAGUAAUGUUGUGGAGCCUCCCAUGUUGCAUCUUCACACUCUCAACUAUUCAAAUCUUUGAUCUAUUUUCCCGUUUAGGAUAUUUUGUAAUCUCGGCAGUAUGUAGUUUUACAUGAAUCUCUAAUCAAUCGCGUUGAGGCAGACAUAACUGACUGAAAGCCUGACAAGAGAAAAACACAACAAACUCACUAGUCUUCCAUUGACUGUUUGAAGGCUAUUUGAUAACGAGAACUGCUUGCAUUUCAGACAACCUUGAUCAGAAUGGGAGUGUAAAUCAAAAUUUCUGGAUCUUGAAGAGGUAUUUAAGCAGAAUGAAGCUCUGAUGGUACUUAUCCCAGUAUGAAGCUGAUGCCCUUGAUCCAGCUAGAGAAAGAGAUACUAUUUAGCAACUAUUCAUGGUAUGUACACCACUCGAGUCUUUCCCUAUCUCUUUUCGUUCAAAAAGAGGCAUACAUAUUGGAUCGCAUGAACUUAAGCUCUAUAUAAUCUCUCUCUGUUAACAAUUUAGAGACAACUGGUUCACUGCUAACAUUACUAGUUGUCAAAGGCAUGACUUUGGAUUGGUCUUUUUCUCUUAUCCUUGAAAAACUAUCUCAUUGCUGCGCGAAAUCAACAGUUUAUCAUUCUCUUCCUGUCUUCUUUUUCUUUCAAGACUAGUUUUCUAUCUGACAUUGCUCUCAACACAUUUUUUUCUAUGCUGAUUCUCAUCUAUAAUUAUAUGUCUUUUGCAGACAUCCUAGUUUGUUUUACACCUGCAAUGGUGAUACAAGCCGUCCAACUAUCGGAUUAGGAAUGUGAAGGCUUGUUCAGAAUGAGACCGGAGAAAGAAAGAGCUAUACUAUUGAUCAGACAUCUUUUGUCUCAGUUUAAAGUGCUCAAUUCAUGAUUGAUGAAUCCCAAAGUCCAAUUCAUGUUGAAUAUUUUGAAACCUUUCAGUAAAUGUUUAAGCAUUUUCGACAAGUUGUGAUCUCAACAUUUCUAUUACAUGUUCUAUAUUGGGUUUUAUUAGCUCAUUGUUGAUGAAUUGUAACUUCAAUCCCUGCUAGAUGUUGUGAUACUUUUCUAUAAAUAUAGAGGGGCGGAACCAAGAUUUUAAUCUUAUGGGUUCUUAAUUUUUGAACUGACU
This 3404-nucleotide long non-coding RNA is filed under the name Solanum tuberosum (potato). RNAcentral's name for it is "long non-coding RNA (STUB_LNC007759)". Lineage: Eukaryota; Viridiplantae; Streptophyta; Magnoliopsida; Solanales; Solanaceae. The record is from RNAcentral.